CAGCAGCCACGGUAAUACGGAGGGUGCAAGCGUUACUCGGAAUCACUGGGCGUAAAGGACGCGUAGGCGGAUUUCAAGUCUCUUGUGAAAUCUAACGGCUUAACCGUUAAACUGCUUGGGAAACUGAUAAUCUAGAGUAAGGGAGAGGCAGAUGGAAUUCUUGGUGUAGGGGUAAAAUCCGUAGAGAUCAAGAAGAAUACCCAUUGCGAAAGCGAUCUGCUGGAACUUAACUGACGCUAAUGCGUGAAAGCGUGGGGAGCAAACAGGAUUAGAUACCCGAGUAGUCCCUGUCUCUUAUACA
RNAcentral lists this ribosomal RNA (301 nucleotides) under uncultured bacterium. RNAcentral's name for it is "partial 16S ribosomal RNA". It matches the Rfam family "Bacterial small subunit ribosomal RNA", at positions 509 to 808 of the family's 1533-position model. The record is from RNAcentral.